RNAcentral lists this ribosomal RNA (507 nucleotides) under uncultured Propionibacterium sp. Its description in RNAcentral is "bacterial SSU rRNA". It matches the Rfam family "Bacterial small subunit ribosomal RNA", at positions 395 to 912 of the family's 1533-position model. The record is from RNAcentral. Lineage: Bacteria; Bacillati; Actinomycetota; Actinomycetes; Propionibacteriales; Propionibacteriaceae.
CGCCGCGUGCGGGAUGACGGCCUUCGGGUUGUAAACCGCUUUCGCCUGUGACGAAGCGUGAGUGACGGUAAUGGGUAAAGAAGCACCGGCUAACUACGUGCCAGCAGCCGCGGUGAUACGUAGGGUGCGAGCGUUGUCCGGAUUUAUUGGGCGUAAAGGGCUCGUAGGUGGUUGAUCGCGUCGGAAGUGUAAUCUUGGGGCUUAACCCUGAGCGUGCUUUCGAUACGGGUUGACUUGAGGAAGGUAGGGGAGAAUGGAAUUCCUGGUGGAGCGGUGGAAUGCGCAAAUAUCAGGAGGAACACCAGUGGCGAAGGCGGUUCUCUGGGCCUUUCCUGACGCUGAGGAGCGAAAGCGUGGGGAGCGAACAGGCUUAUAUACCCUGGUAGUCCACGCUGUAAACGGUGGGUACUAGGUGUGGGGUCCAUUCCACGGGUUCCGCGCCGUAGCUAACGCUUUAAGUACCCCGCCUGGGGAGUACGGCCGCAAGGCUAAAACUCAUAGAAAUUG